UUCUAGCCAGGUUCUAUCCAGGUUCUUCUGCCAUGUUCUGUCUAGGUUCUCCAGCCAAGUUCUGUAGCCAGGUUCUGUCCAGGAUCUUUUGCCAUGUUCUCUCGCUAGGUUCUGUCUCUAGGUUCUGUGUGUUGUCUUGUUACAUCUGUAUUUAUUCCAGUUGAUUCCAAUCCUAUCAAUCUCUAUUCCAAAGGUUAGGGUGUUUCUUAUC
Long non-coding RNA from Myotis daubentonii (Daubenton's bat), 211 nucleotides. RefSeq lists it as uncharacterized. The record is from RefSeq and is a predicted model, not a curated record. NCBI's taxonomy places the organism in Eukaryota, Metazoa, Chordata, Mammalia, Chiroptera, Vespertilionidae.